Molecule: ribosomal RNA, 299 nt
Filed under: Alexandrium margalefii
Lineage: Eukaryota; Dinophyceae; Gonyaulacales; Pyrocystaceae
Description: partial Bacterial small subunit ribosomal RNA
Rfam family: Bacterial small subunit ribosomal RNA
Source: RNAcentral
UUGAGAGUUUGAUCCUGGCUCAGAACGAACGCUGGCGGCAGGCCUAACACAUGCAAGUCGAGCGAGCUCUUCGGAGCUAGCGGCGGACGGGUUAGUAACGCGUGGGAACGUGCCCUUCACUGCGGAAUAGCCACUGGAAACGGUGAGUAAUACCGCAUACGCCCUUCGGGGGAAAGAUUUAUCGGUGAAGGAUCGGCCCGCGUUAGAUUAGAUAGUUGGUGGGGUAACGGCCUACCAAGUCUACGAUCUAUAGCUGGUUUUAGAGGAUGAUCAGCAACACUGGGACUGAGACACGGCCC